This 578-nucleotide ribosomal RNA is filed under the name Plasmodium ovale curtisi. RNAcentral's name for it is "partial small subunit ribosomal RNA". It matches the Rfam family "Eukaryotic small subunit ribosomal RNA", at positions 438 to 961 of the family's 1831-position model. Lineage: Eukaryota; Apicomplexa; Aconoidasida; Haemosporida; Plasmodiidae. The record is from RNAcentral.
UACUUUCCCUUUUUUUUUAAGAAGGAGAGGUAGUGACAAGAAAAUCAAACUACCCAGGGCCAUCGGCCUUUUUAAUUGGAAUAAACGGGAAUUUACAACCUUACCAAGCCUCAAUUGGAGGGCACGUUCGGGCCAUGAGACGCGACAAUUCCGGCCCCAAUAGCGUAUGUUAAAAUUGUCGCAGUUAAAACCCUCGUAGUUGAAUUUCAAAAAAUGGAUAUUUUAAGCAAGCCCUCAAGGUUAAUCCAAAUAACAGAUUCUCCGAAUCGACUUUGGGCGCAUUUUGCUAUUAUGUGUUCUUUUAAUUAAAAUGAUUCUUUUUAAGGUCUUUCUUUGCUUCGGCUUGGAAGUCCUUGUUACUUUGAGUAAAUUAGAGUGUUCAAAGCAAACAGAUAUAGCAUUGCGCGUUUGAAUACUACAGCAUGGAAUAACAAAAUUGAACAAGUCAGAAUUUUGUUCUUUUUUCUUAUUUUGGCUUAGUUACGAUUAAUAGGAGUAGCUUGGGGGCAUUUGGAUUCAGAUGUCAGAGGUGAAAUCUUAGUUUUCUGAGACACAGAUAAGAAACGGAUACAUGCUAU